UACGUAGGGUGCAAGUGUUAUCCGGAAUCACUGGGCGUAAAGCGUCUGUAGGUGGUCAAAUAAGUCAACUGUUAAAUCUUGAGGCUCAACCUCAAAAUCGCAGUCGAAACUAUUAGACUAGAGUAUAGUAGGGGUAAAGGGAAUUUCCAGUGGAGCGGUGAAAUGCGUAGAGAUUGGAAAGAACACCGAUGGCGAAGGCACUUUACUGGGCUAUUACUAACACUGAGAGACGAAAGCUAGGGUAGCAAAUGGG
RNAcentral lists this ribosomal RNA (253 nucleotides) under uncultured bacterium. RNAcentral describes it as "partial 16S ribosomal RNA". It matches the Rfam family "Bacterial small subunit ribosomal RNA", at positions 524 to 776 of the family's 1533-position model. The record is from RNAcentral.